RNAcentral lists this small RNA (28 nucleotides) under Bombyx mori (domestic silkworm). RNAcentral's name for it is "ovarian small RNA-22076". The record is from RNAcentral. Lineage: Eukaryota; Metazoa; Arthropoda; Insecta; Lepidoptera; Bombycidae.
UAGAUACUACUACUAUUUCAAAUCGUGA